Non-coding RNA from Pseudoneurospora amorphoporcata, 75 nucleotides. The record is from the annotation of a GenBank genome assembly. NCBI's taxonomy places the organism in Eukaryota, Fungi, Ascomycota, Sordariomycetes, Sordariales, Sordariaceae.
GUUUGAUUAGCUCAGUUGGGAGAGCGUUGUAUCCCAAAGGACGAAGGGUCAGGAGUUCCAAUCUUCUAUUGAAUG